GUCUAAUUUUAGGAGUCGGAUGCAGUGACGGCUAUCCAACUAGCCCCGGAACGGGAGGACAGAUUCAUCUGGCGCUGGACUGCAAAUGGUACAUACACUGCUCGAUCUGCCUACAAGAUGCUACAUCACGGAUCCAUACCUUUACGGGGUGCAAACCGGAUUUGGAGUACACGGGCUCCCCUAAAGGCGGCCAUCAGGCGGAU
Molecule: long non-coding RNA, 203 nt
Filed under: Setaria italica (foxtail millet)
Lineage: Eukaryota; Viridiplantae; Streptophyta; Magnoliopsida; Poales; Poaceae
Description: long non-coding RNA (SITA_LNC003998)
Source: RNAcentral